RNAcentral lists this long non-coding RNA (4379 nucleotides) under Lucilia cuprina (Australian sheep blowfly). RNAcentral's name for it is "uncharacterized LOC124419315, transcript variant X2". Lineage: Eukaryota; Metazoa; Arthropoda; Insecta; Diptera; Calliphoridae. The record is from RNAcentral.
AAAUGUACAAUAAUUAUUAUUUAAUCUUUCUUAAUAAGAGAAAAAAGUUUUUUAACACUUAAAAAAAUUUUAUUCUUGUCAUUCCUGUAAACAAAUAAAAUUGGUUUGACAUGUAUAGUACAUUUUUGUAUAGUAUAUACGUUUUAAAAUGCCAUCAUGACAUUGCAGAUUUUUACUCCUCUACUUAAGUAAUAAGGUAUCAAGCGAGAUAAUAAAGUUUUCGUUUUCAACAUUUUGGUAUUUCAUUUUUUUUAACAGAAAAGUUUUUGGUUAUUUCGUGUUUACGAACAGGUAUUUACGAAUGAAAUCAUUUCUGUUGUAUGAGUUUAUUGAAAUAGAUGUGUAUUAUCGCCGGAAGCGUUUAAAUGUACAUAUUUACGGGAAAAAUAUUUAUUUUUUAACAUUAGUUUCGUGUUUCGAUACAUUUUAAUAUAAGACAAGUUUUUGAAGUACUUACUUGUACAAACCUACAUAAAAUACAAUAUUUAUAAAAAAUAAAACAUAUUUUUAAAAGUGAUUUUGUUGUGAUUAUGUAAAUAUCAUUGUAUGUACACUGCCGUUAAUAUUUUUAUUUUAUAUCGCAAAUAUUUGAAAAUUUUGUAUUGAUAACGAUCAUAAGAAUUUUCUACGUAUGGAUUAAUGGCUGAAAGCCCCUUCAAUAUUUAACACAUAAUUAGAUUUAGUUGUCUUUAGUGAACUUUGAUCGCACAAUUUUAGUUGGAAAAUUGUGCUAUUUGUUCUAGCAUUCAUAAAAUUAAAUAAUAUGUUAGUUGAUAACAAUAGCAAUCAAUCAGUAAUACAGUAAUUAUAAAGCAUUUGCUAUAAAUGAGACCAACCAUUUCAAAUUGUAAAAUUAUAAACAAGCAAAUAAAAAAAGAACACAAAGUAGGUGUAAAGAAUAUAAUACACAGAAUGCCACAGAGUAUAGAACAUAAUAGAGAGACAACUAAUAUCCCUUAUCCAACACAUUCAAAUCAACAUCUCUAUCCUCAUCUUAGUAAUGGAUUUUACAACAAUAAUGUCGGUAGCAAUAAUAUACGUGUUGCAAGACUUGAUUGUGGAUUUUCAAAUUCUCAUAUGGAUACUGAAGGUAUACGCGCAGCAAAUUGAGAUUUUUAAAUACAAUUUUAAAUCUUAUUAAUUAAAUGAACAUAAGAAAUAACUAGAAUUAACGAAUUCUUAAAAUGGCGGUUAAUUAAAUCGAGAAAUUUGAAAAGCUUGUUGGUUCGGAGAAUUGGCUAACAUGGAGUAUUGCUAUGGAAACGCAAUCACGAUUCGAAAACCUGUGGAAAUAUGUAGAUGUUGUCUUGGAAAACUACAAACCUGAAGAAGAUGAAAAAGCAAGAUGCCGUGUAAUUUUAUCUUUGGAUAAGUCACUUUAUGUCUAUGUUAGAGGUUGCGAAAAGACAUGCCAUGUAUGGAAAGCUCUUAAGGAUUCGUUCCAGGAUUCAGAUGAUGAAUGGUUUGGCUGUUUUAGUUGUAAACAGACGAAAACGUAUAGACCGAUGAUAAAGUCUCAUGGAAGCUGUGGUACGAAAAUAACAGCUGAUUCAAUCAAGAUGAAAUUACUUCAUGGAAGUCAUGUCGCUUGGUAGAAAGUUCUUGUCAUGCAUUAGUAACCAAGAAAACGUUUCAAAAAAAGCAAAAAGAAAAUGAAUCCGAACGCAAAUAUUUUGGAUGCAGUGGCUUAGGACAUUUUAUUCCUUAGAGGUUGCGAAAAGACAUGCCAUGUAUGGAAAACUCUUAAGGAUUUGUUCCAGGAUUCAGGUUUGUUACAAAAGCUAUGUUCAAUUAAAUUGGAAGAUUGUUCUUCAAUUGAAGAUUAAGUAUCACAAAUUGUAAUUGCAUCUAAAAAUUGGGAUCAAUUGGUUUUGUUGUAGAUGAUGAAUGGUUUGGCUGUUUUAGUAGGAAACAGCCGAAAACGUAAAGACCGAUGAUAUUUUGGAUGCAAUGGCUUCGGACAUUUUGAAGCUAAUUGUCUAACCACGAAAAAAGAAAAAAAUCAAGAAUAGUACAUCGUUUUAUGCAUUGAGCGGCAGGUAUGUGAAGAAUAAAUUAAAAUACAUUGAUAGUGGUGCUUCGGCACAUAUGACGAAGGAGAAAGAAAUUUGUAAGAAAUUUGAACCAUAUGAAGGUGAGAUAAAAACAGCAGGUGCAAUCAAGGGAUGACAAUGAAAUAAAUGUUUGUGGAGAAUAUGAUAAAUAUGUAAUCCCAGUUAAAAACGUGUUAUAUGCUCCAGACAUAACGGAAAACUUAUUAUCAGUGAGUCAAAUGUGUAGUGGUGGUAAUCGAAUAGUAUUUGAUAAGAAUGGCUUAAAUAUUUUUGGUUCAAAUGGACAAAUGAUUGGAAGUGCUAUAUGUGAGAACGGCAUGUAUAGAUUAAAUUCGCCAAAACCCUAUCAAGCAUUUAAUGCCAGUGGCAAAGACUCAAUGGAAAUAUGGCGUAAACGUUUUACACAUCUCUAUUACGAUGGUUUAAAGCAGCUAAGCGAUGGUAUGGUAAUUGGUUUGGACCUUAAUGUCAACCCUUUGAAUAAAGAGUUAUGCCAAGAAGAAAAGCACAAAAAUGGGAUUCAAAAUCAUGUAAUGGCAUUUUUGUUGGAUAUGGCAUUAACAUUAAAGGUUACGUAUAUAUGAUAUAAAUAAAAAAAGUCGUAACAUGUCGAGACGUUAAAUUCGAUGAAAAUAAAAAAGCUUUUUAUUUAUUACAGAAAAAGGAAAAUAAUAUUAUUUUUUCAGUUGUGACAACACACAGAAGGAAAACGUAUCUACGUAUUCAAAUAAUAUUGAUGAUAAAGAUAAUAAUAAUUCCAUCAUAAGUUCAUUAUCAUUUAAUUCUGUUAAUGAGAAUGAUGUGGGGGAAUCGGAAGAAUCUGACCAAAUAGAGGCAACUAACGAUUCCAAUAAUAUAAAAAACCUUUAGACUCAAGUGAAACUACUGAUUGCCAAAUUGUGGAAACUGAAUGUUGUAAUGAGGGUGCAAUAGGGGAAUCCAUUCCUAGAAGAAGUGAAAGACUAGCCAAUAAAGAAAAAACUUCUUAGAAUUGGUUAAGCUAUUGUGCUGAACUCUCUGAAGAAGAACCAAAUAGUAUUUAAGAAGCACUUUCAUCAAGAUAAAACCAAAAGUGGCAAGAGGAUAUCAACAAGUUCCCAAUGGACAUGUUUUGAAGUUGCAGAAAGCACUUUAUGGAUUGAAACAAGAAAGUCAUAUUUGGAAUAAUAAAUUGAAUGAUGCUGUACAAAAAUAUGGUAUGAAACGUUCUAAACUUGAAAUUACUUUUAUGGCUCUUUAUGCUCCUAUUUACUAACCAUAAUGAUUUUAGUCAAUUAUUUAAAACAAAUUUAAUGGAAAAUUUUAAAAUGAAAUUUUUAGGUGAAGCAAAACGAUGUUUAGGAAUGCGUAUAAUUAAAACUGAUGAACAUAUAACUCUGGAUCAAGAAGAAUAUAUUCUAAACAUGCUAAAAAGUUAUGAAAUGGAAAAUUGUUAUCCGAUAUCUACACCGAUGGACCUUAAUCAAGAAUUUUCAAAAUCCGAAUGUAAAGAUGACACAAUGAAAAAUGUACCCUAUCAAAAAGCAAUUGGUAGAUUAUUUGCUGUACAAUGCACACGUCCUGAUAUAAGUCAAGCUGUACAUUUUUUAAGUAAAUUUAAUAAAGAUCCUUCAUUGAAUUCAUUGGACAGCUGUGAAACGUAUUUUUCGAUAUUUGAAAGCAACUACUUAUUACAAGUUACAUUUUUAUACUAAUGGUAAUUAUAAUCUUAUUUCGUACACUGAUUCUGACUGGGGUAAUGAUUUGGAAGAUCGAAGAUCAGUUACUGGUUACGUUAAUUUAUUACAAAAUGCAGCAAUAUCCUAAAAUAGCAAUCGACAGCCAACCAUUGCAUUAUUUACAACUGAGGCCGAAUAUAUGACGUUAUCGGCAACAGUACAAGAAAUCAUGUGGCUAAGAAUGCUGUAAAAUGAACUUAAUUUUGAAUUUAAUGAUCAAAUUCCUACUAACGUAUAUUAUGACAACCAAAGUGCAAUAAACAUAGCCUCGAAUGAAGUAUAUCAUCCAAGAAUCAAACAUAUUGAUAUAAGGCCCCAUUACAUAUGAGAAAAACGUCAAUCAAAUGAAGUUUCGUUUGUUGGAAUAUCUUCAAAUGAUCAACUUGCUGCUUUUUUGACUAAACCCGUUUCCAAGGGAAAACGUUUAAAUCUGUUGUAAAUUUUUGGGAUUGCUAUAAAGUAGAUUUCGAUUUUAACUUGUUCGAAAUGUAUAAAGCGAAAUCAUACUUAACUUUGUAAUUUGUUCUAUGUCAAUUAGACAAUUUUCAAUGAAAUAUUAUUCAUAUUUUCUUUGCUCAACUAAAAAUAAUAAAUGAUAGAAGAAUUA